AGAAUAAUCCCGGAAAGAGCGGGGGGGGGGGGGCUUUUGUCAAUAUCCCUGCAAAACUGCAAUCCGAUUUACUUGGGGAGCAAACCCGGAGAGGUUUCUAGAGGCUCCAUCGGUGCCAUCUGUUUUUUCAAUGCCACAAAAGCGAUAAUGCCGAAUCAUCAUUAGUUGCGGAACACUUAAAGACGGAUUGUAACACAUUUUUUAAAAAAAUCUGGACAGAACCUGGGUUUUCGCUACAAAGUAUGUUUCCAGUUGUUGCUUAUAGGCGAAAACAUUCCUAAAGAGCGGCCAAUCUGUAUCUCUUCUUAGGGGAAGAGGGUGUUACAAACAUAGAGCGCAGCAUCAGAGCGGCAGACGCGUUUUGGACGGGGAAGAAGUGGAUUGUGGACUAUGGACAGCGGCGUGGGGGGAAAAUAAGAAGUGACCGCGCACUGUGACAAGUAAAGACCAGGAGGGAAAUACGUACUAGUAUCCCAUGAAGUCGAACACCCCGCAUGGAGUUGUCGAUACCUCUCAGAUCAAUGUGACAUGCAGAAUCAAAUGACCUAGAAAAAUGUUUUUCACAUCAUAGAUAAAAGCACCUCUGGAGUUCAGACUAGAGAGAUCCGCCUCCGUGUCAGUCCAAUCCUGCAGUAAUAUGUUAACAUGUUAUAGACUCUCGACUAGUUCGAUUAUUUUUCCUCGAGCACUUAAGGUUGGUGCCGAAGAGGGGCAACUAAAGAAGGGAGCUGGAAACAGGAAAGAAGCCUCAACAAAUCCAGUCACAAACGGCAAGGCUGCUUCUACUUUUGGAUGCACAUGGGGCUUGCAUGUUUGAGUGCAUCUCCGCUGGAAAUACAAGUUCUCUACAAAAAACAAGGAGUGAAUGGAGCGUACUGUAUUGGUAGUGUAUUGAGAGAAAUAUGAUACACCGCCAAAAAGGUCCUUUGAAACCCUGCUUUGCUUUUCAUCCAAAAGUCUUGCAGAUGGCAGUGCGUUUAUUGAUUUGAUUUAUCUCCUGCCCGUUUCUCUUUUAAAGAACUCGAAGCGGCUUGCAUCAUUCUCGUCCUUCUGCUCUCAAUCUCACCCCCACAGCAACAACCUUGUGAGGGAGGUUGGGCUGAGAGAUGGUGACUGGCCCAAAGUCACCCAGUUGGCUCCAAGGCUGAGCAGGGACUAGGACCCCAAUUACCCGAGUCCCAGACGCUGCGCUCGUAACCACUACACCACACUGGCUCUCUGCUAAUUACGCUGUCUCACGGGAAUCAAGGAGAGCCAUGAAGCCCAUUCCUAACUAAAUGGCCACAUGAGACUGUGACAAAGAGACAGAGCAUGAGAACCAGAGUCAUCCCAUUGCUAGAGGGUACACAUCCUUCAGUGUGAGGAGAGGACUGAAAAACAUUAACCUUUCUGCAAUGAAAAGCCCUACCCCAAGCACCAACAAAACACUUAUGAAUGUACUCAAGCAUUCAUUUUGCCUUCUUUGUGAAUGUGUAUAUUCCAUGGAAAUGGACUCUCCAAGUUGAUUCCUUUUAAUAAGAUCUGCUUUGUUGGAUUUUAAAUCAGGGAUAUACAAUAUAUGGAGUUCCAAACCGUCACAGCUGAAAGCCUCUGUAAGAAUUCAGAACAUGUCAGAUUGCCCUAAAAGCACAUUAGCUGAAAAAAUGUAACAGCUUAGAGGACAUAAUAGCAUUUUUCUGUUUUUAGAGCUUGUCUUUUUUAAAAAAAACAACAACAACAGCUCAGGCUUUGAAAAAUAUCCUACUACUAAUGUGCCUUUAAUAGCUCAGAAAGCGAGUUUCUGACUCUAACUUGCAGAACUGUAUCCGGCUUCUGCACAAGGAACAACAUGUAGUGGUACUUAGCACAGCAAAACAGCAACUGUCAAGAGCUAUUCUGAGUGGAGGAAAUGGAGGAAUGGUCUUUGAUGGACUCUGUUGCUCUAAAUACAUUGCAAAUCUUCUAAAUGCAGUCUGCUGUACAUAUGAGAGCAUUAUUCACAAACAUAUAGCCUUCGCCCUGUUGGAAGGGCAUACCAUAUUAUCGUUGCAGUAAUGAGAUGCCUUCCUCGAGUAAUUCCUCCCUCUUGAUAUGUCCAAAAACUUAUUUUGUUAACCAGAAACACAAAUGAGUUAGACCUUGUUCACAUGGGAACUCUAAGAAGAGCCUCGAUGCAACUAGAAACCUCUGGCUAGCUGAGCUGCUAUCCCUGUUGCUUGUUCUCUCAUUCACACUCCGGCAACAUAAGGAUUCUUCUUGCAGCAACACAGAGGAAUUAAGAACCCCCCGAAUCCAAAAUUGUUUGCACCUCUGCACCUCUUUGGAAGAAGCAUCAUAUGAGUCUUUAUUUGUUCCUUCUCUCAUCCUACAA
Varanus komodoensis (Komodo dragon) is the source of this 2350-nucleotide long non-coding RNA. RefSeq lists it as uncharacterized. The record is from RefSeq and is a predicted model, not a curated record. Lineage: Eukaryota; Metazoa; Chordata; Lepidosauria; Squamata; Varanidae. The transcript is spliced from 5 exons.